AAGCCAUGCUGUGGCAGGCAUCCCACAUAUAAAGUAGAGGAAGAUGGGCAUGGAUGUUAGCUCAGGGCCAGUCUUCCUCAGUAAAAAGAGGAGAAUUGGUGGCAGCUGUUAGCUCAGGGCUAAUCUUCCUCAAAAAAAAAAGUAGCUUUUGAAAUUAAUGUUCAAAGGAAAAGGAGAGCAAAAAAUGUACAAUAUAAGAAUCAGAAGAGAAAUGUGGGACCAGCAUAAUUUUAUAAAACAAUAAUUAUAUUAAAUGUGAGUGAGAAAAUGUUUUAGUUAAAAAACAAAGAUUGAAAAUAGGUUUUUUUAAAAACCUCUGAGUAUAUACUGUACAUGAGAGAAAUAUCUUAAAAAUAAGGAUAAAUGGAUCCACAAUCAUGGUAGGUAGAUUACAUACUUCUCUCAGUAAUUGAUAGGCAGAAAAAAAAUCAGCAAGGUUACAGAAUAUUUAAACAACAGAAUUAACAAACUUGAUCUAAUGGACAUAUAAAGAAUUCUAUACCAAACUGCCACAGAUACACGUUCUUUGCAAGUGCAUCCAGAACAUUUACAAAAAUUGUCCAAAUAGUGGGCAGUAAAAGAAAUCUCAACUACUACAAAAAGACUGAAAUCAUACACAGCGUGUUCUCUCACCACAGUGCAAUUUGGUAAAACUAAAUAAUUGAAAAAUGGUAUGUUUAGAAUUUAAGAAAUGCAUUCUAAAUAAUUUGUGAGUCAAAGAAAUUAUAAAUUAGAAAAUAUUUAGAGCUGAACGGUAAUGAAAAUUCGAUGUAUCAAAACUUGUGGAUUUCUACUUUGGGCCAUGAUGGAGUAAGACUGAUCCAUUUGACUCUCUUGCUUUAAAUAGCUAGAAAAACAAACAAAAAAAUAGGAAACUACAGUCUUCAGAUAUUGAAAACAAAGAAGCAGAGGACAUUCAUCCAUGCAAGAAGAGAAAGAAACAAGAUGAGGAGACCACCUGAAGCCAGUGAAAGAACCACUGGAAAGGAGCAGACUGAAAAAAUUGGAACACGCAAAAGGCUGGAAAUAGUUCAUGUUCCUGUGAGCCAGAGUGGAACCACUUCCUCCUACACAGAAUGUUGAGGAGCAUCUUCAGAAGAGUGUUU
RNAcentral lists this long non-coding RNA (1106 nucleotides) under Equus caballus (horse). RNAcentral's name for it is "lncRNA (ENSECAG00000043940.1)". Lineage: Eukaryota; Metazoa; Chordata; Mammalia; Perissodactyla; Equidae. The record is from RNAcentral.